AUUUGUCGCCCAGGGAUGAGCCCGCGUAGGAUUAGCUAGUUGGUGGGGUAAUGGCCUACCAAGGCGACGAUCCUUAGCUGGUCUGAGAGGAUGAUCAGCCACACUGGGACUGAGACACGGCCCAGACUCCUACGGGAGGCAGCAGUGGGGAAUAUUGGACAAUGGGCGAAAGCCUGAUCCAGCAAUNCCGCGUGAGUGAUGAAGGCCUUAGGGUUGUAAAGCUCUUUUACCAGGGAUGAUAAUGACAGUACCUGGAGAAUAAGCUCCGGCUAACUCCGUGCCAGCAGCCGCGGUAAUACGGAGGGAGCUAGCGUUGUUCGGAAUUACUGGGCGUAAAGCGCGCGUAGGCGGUUACUCAAGUCAGAGGUGAAAGCCCGGGGCUCAACCCCGGAACUGCCUUUGAAACUAGGUGACUAGAAUCU
Molecule: ribosomal RNA, 422 nt
Filed under: uncultured bacterium
Lineage: Bacteria
Description: bacterial SSU rRNA
Rfam family: Bacterial small subunit ribosomal RNA
Source: RNAcentral